GUAUGUGGUUUAAUUCGAUGCAACGCGAAGAACCUUACCUGGUCUUGACAUCCGGAGACCCUUAGGAAACUAGGGGGUGCUUCCAUCUGGAAGAAUCUGGAGACAGGUGCUGCAUGGCUGUCGUCAGCUCGUGUCGUGAGAUGUUGGGUUAAGUCCCGCAACGAGCGCAACCCUUGCCUUUAGUUGCCAGCAGUUCGGCUGGGCACUCUAAAGGGACUGCCGGUGUUAAACCGGAGGAAGGUGGGGAUGACGUCAAGUCCUCAUGGCCUUUAUGACCAGGGCUACACACGUACUACAAUGGCCGAUACAAAGGGCAGCGACACUGCGAGGUGAAGCCAAUCCCGUAAAAUCGGUCUCAGUCCGGAUUGGAGUCUGCAACUCGACUCCAUGAAGUUGGAAUCGCUAGUAAUCGUGGAUCAGCAUGCCACGGUGAAUACGUUCCCGGGCCUU
RNAcentral lists this ribosomal RNA (450 nucleotides) under uncultured Desulfobulbus sp. RNAcentral describes it as "bacterial SSU rRNA". It matches the Rfam family "Bacterial small subunit ribosomal RNA", at positions 937 to 1382 of the family's 1533-position model. The record is from RNAcentral. Lineage: Bacteria; Pseudomonadati; Thermodesulfobacteriota; Desulfobulbia; Desulfobulbales; Desulfobulbaceae.